CCAUUCCCCUUUUUUUCACUUCUUCUCUCACUAAUGUACUAUUUCUCUCUCUCUCUAAACCUUUGAAAAAUGGAAGAAAUGAAAGUGUGGAGAGGAAGGGAAGGGGAAGAGCAAUUUAUAGAAUUUCUAAACCGUUGGAUUCGCACCAGGUAACAAAAUUCGGUGAAGAAAGAGGAGAAAAAGAUGCUCGGCACCAAAAAUGAGGGUGGAUGACCUCCUUCGCCGACAGCGCUAGUGUGGAGGGGACGUGCGUGCUGUACGCACGUCUCGUGCAUGAAGGCGUGAGGAUGGGGCGUGCGUAUUAUGCAGAUUCCCCGCGGCCAUUGGGGGCGCAUGUGUGCACGCACAGUGCCCAACACCUGCGCGGGUAAACAGCCCU
Molecule: long non-coding RNA, 379 nt
Filed under: Carica papaya (papaya)
Lineage: Eukaryota; Viridiplantae; Streptophyta; Magnoliopsida; Brassicales; Caricaceae
Description: long non-coding RNA (CPAP_LNC005833)
Source: RNAcentral